RNAcentral lists this long non-coding RNA (284 nucleotides) under Mustela putorius furo (domestic ferret). Its description in RNAcentral is "lncRNA (ENSMPUG00000028392.1)". The record is from RNAcentral. Lineage: Eukaryota; Metazoa; Chordata; Mammalia; Carnivora; Mustelidae.
UUGGACCUCACCUAGAAAUCUACAUUGUUCUUGAGUUUGUCCAAUUCCUGAUGACACUUCCCAGGAAGGCUUGGGAAAUCCAUCAUUCUGGGAUUUCACAUCACGGGAUUUUGCUGCCAUCUUCCCAACCACUGCACAGAUCUGAACAAACAUUACAGAGAAACCCUAUUGCCUUUAGAGCUUGGAACACAAAGUGUAACUCACCUAAUCUGGGUGUAUGAGCUCUGAGCUCUUUCAUUUUCUUCAGUCUGGAAGGGAAUACAGCUGAGCUCUGCUCUGUCCCA